Molecule: RNA transcript, 2060 nt
Organism: Triticum aestivum (bread wheat)
Lineage: Eukaryota; Viridiplantae; Streptophyta; Magnoliopsida; Poales; Poaceae
Gene name: RNA-binding KH domain-containing protein PEPPER
Exons: 7
Source: RefSeq, a predicted model, not a curated record
AAAGAGUCCACACUCCACACUCCACACUCGUGUCCACUGACCACUGUCCUUCCCAAAAACCCUCGUCCAUGGCGACCGCGGCACCGCCGCCCGAGGAGUUCGCCCGCGACGCCAUGGCCUACGUAGCCGAGGAGGAGGAGGAGGACCCUGAGGAGGUGGAGCCGUGGGUUUCCUCCGACUCGGAGCCGGACGAGCACCCGGCGCUCGAGCCGCGGGACCCUUCCCCCAACUCGGAGCCGCAGCCGCCGCCGCCUGCACCGACGAAUUCGGCGUCCGAGGUGGCGGAGGAGGGGCAGAAGGCGGCGCCUUGGCCUGGGUUCCCCGGCGCGAGCGUGUUCCGGCUGGUCGUGGCCGGGGACAAGGUGGGCGGCCUCAUCGGCCGCCGGGGCGAGAUCGUCAAGCGCCUCUGCGAGGAGACCCGCGCCCGCGUCCGCGUCCUCGACGCCACGGACGGCGUCUCCAGCCGGAUUGUCUUGAUAUCCGCAACAGAAGAAACACAAGCAGAACUGGCACCUGCUAUGGAUGCUGCAGUUAGGAUCUUCAAACAUGUAAAUGAUAUAGAAGGGAUCAAUCCUGAUGUCACAUUAUCUGCUUCUGCACCAGAAAUUUGUUGUGCUAGAUUAAUGGUUCCUAAAGCACAAGCGGUGCACUUAAUUGGCAAGCAAGGAACCAUGAUCAAGUUAAUUCAAGAAACUACUGGUGCUACCAUGAGGAUUAUAGAUCAAGACGACCUUUUGAGUAAUCAGAUGGUGGUUGAAAGAAUUGUGGAGAUACGUGGUGCUUCCCUCAAGGUCCUCAAUGCCCUAAAAUCAGUACUUGGACUUCUCCGGAAGUUCCUAGUUGAUCAUAGCGUCCUUCAUCUAUUUGAAAGAAAGAACCAAGCAGAAACCGAGGUGCAGGAUAGUUCUAAAGAAAAUCAGGUUACCAAUGGUUAUGCUCCUCCAGUGAACCAGGACCUUUUGUUAUCCUACAGUCGAAGUCCUCUUAACCCGAAUGGCAGCAGAUAUUUGUCAUACGGACAUGACCCAUCUGUUUGUGACCCAUAUUCACCAGAUAUCAGACGCCCAACUGUCUCCAUAAUAUCGAAGAUUACGCAAACGAUGCAGAUCCCUUUGCUGCAAGCUGAAGAGAUAAUUGGUGUCAGGGGACAGACCGUUGCUCAUAUACGUUCUGUCAGUGGAGCGGUGGUUGUCCUCGAGGAAACUGGAAAUUAUCUGGAUGAGGUUCUAGUUUCGAUCGAAGGCACUUCUUCACAAGUUGAGACCGCGCAUCAACUCAUACAGAGAACGCAACCGAAAUCAACUCAAUUUUGGGGAAUUUUGGGAGAUCGAUUGCUGGUGGAUCUGAGCCACAGAACUAGGGUUCGCCAGCCGGAACACGGCGGCUUUAGAGGCCAAGCCCAGAUACAUCCAGAAUGCCCUCUCCACAAGCCGGAGGAGGGUUUAAAAAGGGGUUCGAGCAGGUGAAAAGCAAGAAAGUGACAGGUUCAGAUAUUACAGAGCUGCAGUAAAGUUUAAAGGAAGAAAAACUACUGCGGCCGUUCAUCAGGGGAUCAACGGUUGCGAGCGGGUGUCUUGAGGGCGAAACGGUACGCUCGCUGGAGCCGUAGGAUCUCUGAUCGACGGUUGUAAUGCGCGCUGGCAAAUGAAACGGUCCUACUGCGCGACGGAAAAGUUCUAGCACCCAGGAGCAGCGGCUACGGCAACCCUGACGCUGGCCCGGUCAGGCCGCCGUUCGCCCCGUGUGGCGCUCCAGUGAGCCCGGAGUACGCCCCGCCUCUGUACCGCGAGUACCAGUCAUCGUCCGGCAGCGUCCGCCACUGCUACUCUGCUGCAUACCACGGGUACAGGCUGUAGCACGCGGAGCCGAGCGACUGACCGCGCGCCUAUCCUCCUCAUCGCCGCGCCUAACCUAACGAUCACCACCCGGACCAUGCCUGAUUGAGGGGAAAUUGAAUGGAACGGCUUUGCCGCGACGAUUGAUCCGACACUACACUAGGCCCCAGCAGUUACUUACUUGCCUAUGGUACUCGUCUGCAUAUUCGCCUUUGUCUGAAGAAA